Molecule: long non-coding RNA, 876 nt
Organism: Bubalus bubalis (water buffalo)
Lineage: Eukaryota; Metazoa; Chordata; Mammalia; Artiodactyla; Bovidae
Exons: 2
Source: RefSeq, a predicted model, not a curated record
UCUAUUACUCUUUGAAUCUUUGAUGAAUAAAUAAAUAUAAAUAGGUCGCCGACGCCGUCCCCGCUUCGAAUACCCUGGAUCAGCCGGGGCUGGACCCCGGCAACAUACUUUGUCAGUUUCUAAAGGUACAAGCCUGCUGCUCUUAAAGUUGUGUCUGAAGUAUGUAGCCUUCUCCACAUGAGGUAAUUCAACUACCAGAGUAAUCCUCUUAUCUUUGGAGACUUUCUGCCUAAAAUGAUUUGAUGGCUUUUAAUUACCAUGAAAAUAAAACCUAAUAUUUUUAAAUCAGCUUUAUAAAUCCUGUAUAACCAGGGUGUACUUCUCUUAACCUCCCUUGAAUAUUUAGGUACUACCCAACCGGACUGCUUCCUGCCUCUGAAAUACAAAUGGUCUUUUCUCCUCCUUAAACCUCUUAUGUCUUAUUGUCCCCAUGUGGCCCUUUUUUUUCUGUCAUCCAAGAUAUGAUAGUCCUGAUGCGUUUUGAAUCAUAAAGGAGUGGGCAAUGAGAAAACACACUUAGCAAGCUGGAGGAAGGAGUUGAAAUGCUUGACAGAGGCUGAGGAUAAAUGUGUAUGUGUUCCUCCUUCCUGCUACAGCUUUCUGUUAACCCCCACCUCAGCUCGAUUUUGCUGUUUCUUUUCUCCUUUCUCUCACUGUCAUGCCAAACUGUGAGAAAAGGCUGAGAUAAUGGGCCCUGUGAUUAUAUGUUUUGUUACUUGUUAUGUGACUUUUUUGUUGGAUAGAAACUGUCCCCUGCUUUUGUCUCCUUGGGAAUCCUAAUUUUCUUUUGGAAAUAAGUCUUAUAAUGUGGUGAGGUAUUUGCCCCUCUUUCCAUUCUAAAAACAAAAAACAAAAUAAAGUCAUCUUCAUCUCUUC